UUCGGCUUAGAGUUUGAUCCUGGCUCAGAUUGAACGCUGGCGGCAUGCCUAACACAUGCAAGUCGCACGCGAAAGGGGGCAACCCUGAGUAGAGUGGCGGACGGGUGAGUAAUACAUAGGAAUCUACCCAGUAGUGGGGGACAACCCGGUGAAAACCGGGCUAAUACCGCAUACGACCCACGGGUGAAAGCGGGGGACCGAAAGGCCUCGCGCUAUUGGAUGAGCCUAUGUCCGAUUAGCUAGUUGGUAGGGUAAAGGCCUACCAAGGCAACGAUCGGUAGCUGGUUUGAGAGAACGACCAGCCACACUGGGACUGAGACACGGCCCAGACUCCUACGGGAGGCAGCAGUGGGGAAUCUUGGACAAUGGGGGCAACCCUGAUCCAGCAAUGCCGCGUGUGUGAAGAAGGCCUUCGGGUUGUAAAGCACUUUCGGUGGGGACGAACAUGGUCGGGUGA
Molecule: ribosomal RNA, 457 nt
Filed under: uncultured bacterium
Lineage: Bacteria
Description: SSU rRNA
Rfam family: Bacterial small subunit ribosomal RNA
Source: RNAcentral